ACAAGGCAUUGGCUGUAAGUGACUGUUGAGCCAGAAGAGGUAUUGGUAUUCUACAGACUCUAAGAUACACCAAAAUACAUACUACAAGAUAAUAAGAGCACUUAAAGAACGAUGAUUUUUCUAUGCAAUUGUUCUUCUGAGAAACCUCCAUCUCCAUUGUGAUCGUGAUCAUGAUCAUGAAAAAUUAGUGUCAAGAUUCCUACCAAACAUAAAAC
Molecule: unclassified non-coding RNA, 215 nt
Filed under: Hevea brasiliensis (rubber tree)
Lineage: Eukaryota; Viridiplantae; Streptophyta; Magnoliopsida; Malpighiales; Euphorbiaceae
Source: RNAcentral